This is a long non-coding RNA of Ixodes scapularis (black-legged tick), 884 nucleotides long. RefSeq lists it as uncharacterized. NCBI's taxonomy places the organism in Eukaryota, Metazoa, Arthropoda, Arachnida, Ixodida, Ixodidae. The record is from RefSeq and is a predicted model, not a curated record. The transcript has 3 exons.
CGCUCGCGCUGCUCCCCGCCUGGGAGCGAGAUUAGGUUGCAAUUUUUCUUUUAAAAAGAGUUUCACACGUCAAAAAGAAGUUGCUUCUUAAAAUUUUCUUCAUAGCAUGUCUUUACGAAACGCAAAUCGUGAAAGAUGCUGUUUCGCAGGUUUCGAAACUAACCUUGUACGCGUUUUCUAGACAAAUGCGCUUUUCCGUCUAGCAACGUUGGCUCAAUUUGAGCGAUGGCUCCUGGCCUCUUUCUUUUCGUUUCGCUCGUUGGCGUCCCUCGCUUGUGGACAUAUUUGGCGUCAUGUGAGUUUCGACGUCUCCUUCAUUGUGAAAACUCGGGAGAAGCUUGAACUAGGAUUCACUGAAGACAAGAAACGAAUGCUUAUCUGGGUUCAACAAGAAUGAAAAGGUAUUCGAGUGAGUGGCCGACUCCGGUGCCGUGUCCACACGCCUCAACGAGAAAGUUUAAAAUCCUCAUAGGAUCUUCCUACGGGACUCUAGUAACGAAAAAGCGCUUGUAACUCCCGAUGCGGAAGGAAAAUGACUACGAAUUGAAGCGGUGCUCAAAGCAGGAAGGGGACUGCUUUGUCAGCCAGUAAAUGCGGUCUGGGCUGGACAUAAUUUCCAGGCAAGUAAACGAGCAUUGUCAUGUUGUGCCCCCUGUCCACAGUGAUGUGCCCCCCAUCUACAGUGGCAGUUGCACUGAUCUUCUCAACAUCGCCCCCUGGCUCGCACGACUGGCAGAGCAGCAAGGAUGGCUCGUUCUCCCUAGGUUAUGUGAUGCUGUGCACGGAGUGAUAAUUUUAACUACCCGACGAGUAUGGUGCCUGGAGCAAGUCUUCGACUGGUGUGUUUAGCGUCCUUUGCUGCCCGUACAUCAAAAGUGGUCCGA